Molecule: ribosomal RNA, 236 nt
Filed under: uncultured bacterium
Lineage: Bacteria
Description: partial 16S ribosomal RNA
Rfam family: Bacterial small subunit ribosomal RNA
Source: RNAcentral
GAUCCUGGCUCAGGAUGAACGCUAGCUACAGGCUUAACACAUGCAAGUCGAGGGGCAGCGGGGUGUAGCAAUACACCGCCGGCGACCGGCGCACGGGUGAGUAACGCGUAUGCAACUUGCCUAUCAGAGGGGGAUAACCCGGCGAAAGUCGGACUAAUACCGCAUGAAGCAGGGAUCCCGCAUGGGAAUAUUUGCUAAAGAUUCAUCGCUGAUAGAUAGGCAUGCGUUCCAUUAGG